GAACGAGAAAGUUUUCUUCGGAGAACGAGUAAAGUGGCGCACGGGUGAGUAACGCGUAAGUAAUCUACCCUUGCAUUCGGGAUAACUACGGGAAGCUGUAGCUAAUACCGAAUACGUUCAUAGAGUUACGACUCUAUGAAGAAAGAUGACCUCUUCUUGAAAGUUAUCGUGCAGGGAGGAGCUUGCGUACCAUUAGCUAGUUGGUAGGGUAAAGGCCUACCAAGGCAACGAUGGUUAGCGGGUCUGAGAGGAUGAUCCGCCACACUGGAACUGAAACACGGACCAGACUCCUACGGGAGGCAGCAGUGAGGAAUAUUGCGCAAUGGGGGAAACCCUGACGCAGCGACGCCGCGUGGAUGAUGAAGGCCUUAGGGUCGUAAAAUCCUGUCAGAUGGGAAGAAAUGCAUGAGGGAACAAUACCCCUUGUGUUUGACGGUACCAUCAGAGGAAGCACCGGCUAACUCCGUGCCAGCAGCCGCGGUAAUACGGAGGGUGCAAGCGUUGUUCGGAUUCACUGGGUAUAAAGGGUGCGCAGGCGGCCUGUUAAGUCAGGGGUGAAAUAUGACGGCUCAACCGUCAAACUGCCCCUGAAACUGAUAGGCUUGAGUCCGAGAGAGGUAGGUGGAAUUCCAGGUGUAGCGGUGAAAUUCGUAAAUAUCUGGAGGAACACCGGUGGCGAAGGCGGCCUACUGGCUCGGAACUGACGCUCAGGCACGAAAGCAUGGGGAGCGAACGGGAUUAGAUACCCCGGUAGUCCAUGCCGUAAACGAUGGGUACUAGGUGUUGGGGGAUUCUACCCCCUCAGUGCCGCAGCUAACGCAUUAAGUACCCCACCUGGGGAGUACGAUCGCAAGGUUGAAACUCAAAGGAAUUGACGGGGGCCCGCACAAGCGGUGGAGCAUGUGGUUUAAUUCGAUGCAACGCGAGGAACCUUACCUGGGCUUGACAUGCAGGGGACAGGUGUAGAAAUACACUCUUCUUCGGACUCCUGUACAGGUGCUGCAUGGCUGUCGUCAGCUCGUGUCGUGAAAUGUUAGGUUAAGUCCUGCAACGAGCGCAACCCCUAUCUUUAGUUGCCAUCAGGUAAUGCUGAGAACUCCAAGGAGACUGCCGGUGACAAACCGGAGGAAGGUGGGGACGACGUCAAGUCAUCAUGGCCCUUAUGGGAUGGGCUACACACGUGCUACAAUGGUCGGUACAGAGGGUCGCAACUCCGCGAGGACAAGCUAAUCCCACAAAGCCGAUCGUAGUCCGGAUUGGAGUCUGCAACUCGACUCCACGAAGUUGGAAUCGCUAGUAAUCGUGAAUCAGAACGUCACGGUGAAUACGUUCCCGGGCCUUGUACACACCGCCCGUCACACCAUGGGAGUGGGUUGCAAAAGAAGUGGGUAGACGAACCUUC
This 1402-nucleotide ribosomal RNA is filed under the name uncultured bacterium. RNAcentral's name for it is "partial 16S ribosomal RNA". It matches the Rfam family "Bacterial small subunit ribosomal RNA". The record is from RNAcentral.